Molecule: RNA transcript, 2014 nt
Organism: Fragaria vesca subsp. vesca
Lineage: Eukaryota; Viridiplantae; Streptophyta; Magnoliopsida; Rosales; Rosaceae
Gene name: MATE efflux family protein 1-like
Exons: 13
Source: RefSeq, a predicted model, not a curated record
AAAUUUCACUUUCUAGACAGUUCUAUUAUUGUUCCCAUCUUUCUGCUUUUGUUUUCGUUUGAAACUGUUGUUUGACGUUUACAUAAAGUUGGAUUCCUUGCAAUUGUGUUUAUAUCUUCCUGUUCUUGAAUUGGUGAUGAUCAGAAUUAAGGAUUCUAUAGCGUUUUGAUUGUUUUGAAUAUUGAACUUGUCCAUGAGGAAGGCCUUAGUCUACUCAUGGCUAUACAUUGUCUCCUAAAUUGUUGCAAGAAUAUGGGCAACAUGCCCCUCUUUGUGUUCUUCAAAGACACAAGGAAUGUUUUCAGAGCUGAUGAGCUAGGCCUGGAAAUAGUACAUAUUGCUCUUCCUACGCUACUAGCGUUAGUAGCAGACCCUGCUGCUUCUCUAAUCGACACAGCAUUUGUUGGCCAUAUAGGUCCUGUGGAGCUUGCAGCUGUGGGAGUUUCUAUUGCUGUUUUCAAUCAAGUAUCAAAAAUAGCAAUAUUUCCACUAGUCAGUAUUACAACCUCUUUUGUUGCUGAAGAAGAUACUACAGAACCAUUAAGUACUCAAGAUGAACGACUGGAAAAUGCUACUUUCGUCAACAAGGAAAUGGAAGUACUCAAACCACUUGUUGACUCUACAUCAUCAUCCAUUACCAUUGAUAAUACAGAAAUGGUCAAACCUGAGCAUGUCAGAAGGCGUAUUCCAUCAGCGUCAUCAGCGUUGGUCAUUGGCAGCAUCCUGGGGGUUAUUCAAACUCUAUUCCUAAUUUUUGCUGCAAACCCCAUCCUAAAUUACAUGGGGGUAGAUUCUGGUUCUCCUAUGUUAAGACCAGCAAGACAAUACCUGACACUACGAUCACUUGGUGCUCCUGCAGUUCUUCUCUCUUUGGCAAUGCAAGGGGUUUUCCGUGGUUUUUAAGGAUACAAAAACUCCUUUAUAUGCUACAAUUGUGGGAGAUGCAGUAAACAUCAUUUUGGACCCAAUAUUAAUGUUUGCACUCCAUAUGGGCAUUAGUGGUGCAGCGAUAGCCCAUGUUUUCUCUCAGUAUUUAAUCUGUCUGAUACUGUUAUGGAGAUUAAACAGACAAGUCGACCUCCUAACCCCAGGCGUCAAAGAUCUACGGAUUGGCCAGUUUCUGAAAAAUGGGGGUAUGUUAUUGGUGAGAGUUAUAGCUGCAACAUUCUGUGUCACCCUUGCAGCAUCAUUAACUGCACGGCAGGGAUCGACAUCAAUGGCAGCAUUUCAAGUUUGCUUGCAGAUUUGGCUUGCGGCCUCUUUGCUUGCAGAUGGGUUAGCUGUGGCUGGACAAGCAAUCCUUGCAAGCGCAUUUGCGAGGAAGGAUCACAGCAAGGUUGUUGCCACAGCUUCACGUAUAUUGCAGAUGGCUUUGGUUCUAGGGAUAAUACUCGGAGUCAUGCUUACAGUUGUAUUGAAGUUUGCGUCAAGAUUAUUCACCAAAGAUAUCAAUGUUUUGCAGCUUAUAAGUUUAGGCAUUCCGUUUAUUGCAGUGACUCAGCCCGUUAAUGCUUUGGCUUUUGUCUUUGACGGAUUAAAUUAUGGAGCAUCAGAUUUUGCAUAUUCUGCCUACUCAAUGGUUGUGGUGGCUUUAGUGAGCAUAUUGUGCCUGUUUCUAUUAUCAUCAAGCCAUGGCUUUGUUGGUAUUUGGGUUGCUUUAACAAUCUUUAUGAGUUUGCGGACAGUGGUUGGAUUUUGGAGGAUAGGGACUGGAACAGGACCGUGGGGCUUUCUGAGGGAGUAGUUGGAGCCUAAAUGCAUUUGUCAAUUUAGCAGAUGGUACAUCCUACUGUACAUAGGUAACGACAAAGGGCAGCCACCUAUCAUUUCUUAUUCAAGUUGCUGAAAUGUAGCCUAUGUUUAUACUUCAUAAGGUUAGAAUGAAAGUAGGAACUCAGUUUUAUAGCCUAUAGUAACUACACAUAGAAAGCAGUGCCGAAUUUAGAUUAUUGAUCUUUAUGGUGGUUAUGUCCUUUUUUGAGUUCUUUGCUGCAAGUAGAACAACUUUUCCAAA